GAUGAACGCUGGCGGCGUGCCUAAUACAUGCAAGUCGAGCGAACAGACGAGGAGCUUGCUCCUCUGACGUUAGCGGCGGACGGGUGAGUAACACGUGGAUAACCUACCUAUAAGACUGGGAUAACUUCGGGAAACCGGAGCUAAUACCGGAUAAUAUAUUGAACCGCAUGGUUCAAUAGUGAAAGACGGUUUUGCUGUCACUUAUAGAUGGAUCCGCGCCGCAUUAGCUAGUUGGUAAGGUAACGGCUUACCAAGGCAACGAUGCGUAGCCGACCUGAGAGAGUGAUCGGCCACACUGGAACUGAGACACGGUCCAGACUCCUACGGGAGGCGGCAGUAGGGAAUCUUCCGCAAUGGGCGAAAACCUGACGGAACAACGCCGCAUGAGUGAUGAAGGUCUUCGAAUCGUAAAGCUCUGUUAUUAGGGAAGAACAAAUGUGUAAGUAACUAUGCACGUCUUGACGGUACCUAAUCAGAAAGCCACGGCUAACUACGUG
RNAcentral lists this ribosomal RNA (497 nucleotides) under uncultured bacterium. RNAcentral describes it as "partial 16S ribosomal RNA". It matches the Rfam family "Bacterial small subunit ribosomal RNA", at positions 28 to 507 of the family's 1533-position model. The record is from RNAcentral.